Molecule: ribosomal RNA, 501 nt
Filed under: Hymenoscyphus sp. UBCTRA1302.14
Lineage: Eukaryota; Fungi; Ascomycota; Leotiomycetes; Helotiales; Helotiaceae
Description: eukaryotic LSU rRNA
Rfam family: Eukaryotic large subunit ribosomal RNA
Source: RNAcentral
UGACCUCGGAUCAGGUAGGGAUACCCGCUGAACUUAAGCAUAUCAAUAAGCGGAGGAAAAGAAACCAACAGGGAUUGCCCUAGUAACGGCGAGUGAAGCGGCAACAGCUCAAAUUUGAAAUCUGGCCUUCAGGCCCGAGUUGUAAUUUGUAGAGGAUGCUUUUGGCGCGGUGCCUUCUGAGUUUCCUGGAACGGUACGCCAUAGAGGGUGAGAGCCCCGUAUAGUCGGCCACCAAGCCUGUGUAAAGCUCCUUCGACGAGUCGAGUAGUUUGGGAAUGCUGCUCAAAAUGGGAGGUAAAUUUCUUCUAAAGCUAAAUACCGGCCAGAGACCGAUAGCGCACAAGUAGAGUGAUCGAAAGAUGAAAAGCACUUUGAAAAGAGGGUUAAAAAGCACGUGAAAUUGUUGAAAGGGAAGCGCUUGUUACCAGACUUGUGCCCUGUAGAUCAUCCGGCGUUCUCGCCCGGUGCACUCUACCUGGUUCAGGCCAGCAUCGGUUCUUA